ACAAAUGAGCAAAGAGGACAGAGAGAGAGAGAGAGAGAGAGAGAGGGAAGCAGGGCUCAUGCAAAGCGGGGCUGGUGCUCACCUGAGGCGGGGCUUGAAUUCAUUGUGAGAUCAUGAUCUGAGCCGAAGUCAGUUGCUUAACCGAUUGAGCCACCCAUGUGCCCUGGUUUAUAUCUUUAAAAGAUUGUUCUGGCUGCUGUGGGACAAUGUAGAAUACCUGAGUGCACGUGGGAGGCCAGUGAGGAAGCAAAGCUGGUUGUCCAGGGGGAAGCAAUGGUUGCUUAAACACACAGGGGUGGUGGAGACGGGGAGCAGAAUGUGGACUUAGGAGGUAACAUCAGUAGGAUGGGGGGAUCAGGGCAAAGGGAGUUGUCCAUGGCUUGGCUACAGGCAGGAUGGUGGCCCCACUUAGGGACACCAAGGAUGCUAACAGAAGGUGAGGUUGAGGGGUGGAGGCAGACAAAGAAGGUGGCCUUGGACCCCAUAAGCUUCAGAGUGGGACAUCUGAGUGCAGAUGCUAAUAGGCAGUUAGAUGUAUGUGCAUGCGCCUUUCGCCCCACAGUUCUCUGGAGGAUGAAUCCUGGAACCCGAAACCUCAGCUUGAUUUCUCUCUUGCUGCUGAGUUUCGAUCAGGCCAUAGCCAAGGCAUAGAAUAAGACAGAUGGAGUCUCAGCUCUCAUGAAGAUUGCACACCAGUUGGGGAGACAGGCAACAAUCAAGGAUACACAUAUGCAAACAAGGCCUUUGGACUCAUGCUGGAAUUAAGCCAUUGGCUCUCCUGGAUCUCCAGCCUCCUGACUCAUCCUGCAAACCUUGGGACUUGCCUGCCUCCAUAACCACUUGAGUCAGUUCCUUAUAAUAAAUCUUUG
Molecule: long non-coding RNA, 869 nt
Organism: Neofelis nebulosa (Clouded leopard)
Lineage: Eukaryota; Metazoa; Chordata; Mammalia; Carnivora; Felidae
Exons: 3
Source: RefSeq, a predicted model, not a curated record